CCUGGCUUCAGAUCCUAAAAUCUUUUGACUGCCCGUGGAGAGGUGCUGAGGCCUAAGCCAGGACUCUCUCCAUCAGCAGUUCUUGCUUUUCCUUCCCUCUCAUACUGGCUUCAGACUCCAAGUCCCAUGUCCACUUGGGAGAGCACAGCUCCUACUGUUCUUCUACUCAGGCUGGUCCAUCUGUCAACCAGAGCACUAAUAUGACUGUUUAUGGCAGCAGCCGUCUUCCUGUUUUAUGCAUCAGACUACCAC
RNAcentral lists this long non-coding RNA (252 nucleotides) under Chloebia gouldiae (Gouldian finch). Its description in RNAcentral is "Erythrura gouldiae (Gouldian finch) lncRNA (ENSEGOG00005000352.1)". The record is from RNAcentral. Lineage: Eukaryota; Metazoa; Chordata; Aves; Passeriformes; Passeridae.